This 238-nucleotide long non-coding RNA is filed under the name Gossypium raimondii (Peruvian cotton). Its description in RNAcentral is "long non-coding RNA (GRAI_LNC003782)". The record is from RNAcentral. Lineage: Eukaryota; Viridiplantae; Streptophyta; Magnoliopsida; Malvales; Malvaceae.
UUAAAUUAAGGCUUUAUGGAUUUGCCCCGGGCUAAUUUUAGCAAAGUUAAAAGUCUCAACUUUGCCAUGUAGGAUGGCCAGUCAUGAGGGGGCUCUUUGGCUGUUGAAAUUUGAUAUUUUUAGUAGCCAUCAUCAGCUAUAUAAACCCCCCUUUUCUGCCCAUUCAAAUCAUCCCUCAUUCUUGUUUCAAAAAAAAAAAACCAUCCCUCUUCACAUCUUUUCUCUCACAACUCUUCUC